CGCGGGGUAGAGCAGCCUGGUAGCUCGUCGGGCUCAUAACCCGAAGGUCGGGAGUUCAAAUCUCCCCCCCGCCACCA
Molecule: transfer RNA, 77 nt
Filed under: Synechococcus sp.
Lineage: Bacteria; Bacillati; Cyanobacteriota; Cyanophyceae; Synechococcales; Synechococcaceae
Also listed under: 38 other names
Description: tRNA-Met
Rfam family: tRNA
About the family: Transfer RNA (tRNA) molecules are approximately 80 nucleotides in length. Their secondary structure includes four short double-helical elements and three loops (D, anti-codon, and T loops).
Source: RNAcentral